This 390-nucleotide ribosomal RNA is filed under the name uncultured Selenomonas sp. Its description in RNAcentral is "bacterial SSU rRNA". It matches the Rfam family "Bacterial small subunit ribosomal RNA", at positions 354 to 760 of the family's 1533-position model. The record is from RNAcentral. Lineage: Bacteria; Bacillati; Bacillota; Negativicutes; Selenomonadales; Selenomonadaceae.
UGGGGGAAUAUUGCACAAUGGGCGAAAGCCUGAUGCAGCAACGCCGCGUGAGGGAAGACGGUUUUCGGAUUGUAAACCUCUGUUUUCGGUGACGAACAAAUGACGGUAACCGAGGAGGAAGCCACGGCUAACUACGUGCCAGCAGCCGCGGUAAUACGUAGGUGGCGAGCGUUGUCCGGAAUUAUUGGGCGUAAAGGGAGCGCAGGCGGGAGAGCAAGUCUAUCUUAAAAGUGCGGGGCUCAACCCCGUGAGGGGAUAGAAACUGUUCUUCUUGAGUGCAGGAGAGGAAAGCGGAAUUCCUAGUGUAGCGGUGAAAUGCGUAGAUAUUAGGAGGAACACCAGUGGCGAAGGCGGCUUUCUGGACUGUAACUGACGCUGAGGCUCGAAAAG